ACACAUGCAAGUCGAGGGGUAUGGUUCUUCGGAACCAGAGACCGGCGCACGGGUGCGUAACGCGUAUGCAAUCUACCUUUCACAGAGGGAUAGCCCAGAGAAAUUUGGAUUAAUACCUCAUAGUAUAUUGGUCUCGCAUGAGAUUAUUAUUAAAGAUUUAUCGGUGAAAGAUGAGCAUGCGUCCCAUUAGUUAGUUGGUAAGGUAACGGCUUACCAAGACUACGAUGGGUAGGGGUCCUGAGAGGGAGAUCCCCCACACUGGUACUGAGACACGGACCAGACUCCUACGGGAGGCAGCAGUGAGGAAUAUUGGACAAUGGGCGCAAGCCUGAUCCAGCCAUGCCGCGUGCAGGAUGACGGUCCUAUGGAUUGUAAACUGCUUUUAUACGAGAAGAAACACUAGUUCGUGAACUAGCUUGACGGUAUCGUAAGAAUAAGGAUCGGCUAACUCCGUGCCAGCAGCCGCGGUAAUACGGAGGAUCCAAGCGUUAUCCGGAAUCAUUGGGUUUAAAGGGUCCGUAGGCGGUCAGAUAAGUCAGUGGUGAAAGCCCAUCGCUCAACGGUGGAACGGCCAUUGAUACUGUCUGACUUGAAUUAUUAGGAAGUAACUAGAAUAUGUAGUGUAGCGGUGAAAUGCUUAGAGAUUACAUGGAAUACCAAUUGCGAAGGCAGGUUACUACUAAUGGAUUGACGCUGAUGGACGAAAGCGUGGGUAGCGAACAGGAUUAGAUACCCUGGUAGUCCACGCCGUAAACGAUGGAUACUAGCUGUUGGGAGCAAUCUCAGUGGCUAAGCGAAAGUGAUAAGUAUCCCACCUGGGGAGUACGAACGCAAGUUUGAAACUCAAAGGAAUUGACGGGGGCCCGCACAAGCGGUGGAGCAUGUGGUUUUAUUUCUAUGAUACGCGAGGAACCUUACCAAGGC
RNAcentral lists this ribosomal RNA (924 nucleotides) under Flavobacterium frigidarium. RNAcentral's name for it is "bacterial SSU rRNA". It matches the Rfam family "Bacterial small subunit ribosomal RNA", at positions 51 to 980 of the family's 1533-position model. The record is from RNAcentral. Lineage: Bacteria; Pseudomonadati; Bacteroidota; Flavobacteriia; Flavobacteriales; Flavobacteriaceae.